CCUACGGGAGGCAGCAGUAAGGAAUAUUGGUCAAUGGACGCAAGUCUGAACCAGCCAUGCCGCGUGAAGGAUUAAGGUCCUCUGGAUUGUAAACUUCUUUUAUUUGGGACGAAAAAGGGCCUUUCUAGGUCAACUGACGGUACCAGAUGAAUAAGCACCGGCUAACUCCGUGCCAGCAGCCGCGGUAAUACGGAGGGUGCAAGCGUUAUCCGGAUUCACUGGGUUUAAAGGGUGCGUAGGCGGGUAGGUAAGUCAGUGGUGAAAUCCUAGAGCUUAACUCUAGAACUGCCAUUGAUACUAUCUAUCUUGAAUAUUGUGGAGGUAAGCGGAAUAUGUCAUGUAGCGGUGAAAUGCUUAGAUAUGACAUAGAACACCUAUUGCGAAGGCAGCUUACUACGCAUAUAUUGACGCUGAGGCACGAAAGCGUGGGGAUCAAACAGGAUUAGAUACCCUGGUAGUCCACGCCCUAAACCUAUGAUUACUCGACAUUUGAGAUACACAUUAAGUGUUNUGAGACGAAGACAUUAAGUUAAUACCACCGUACGGAGGUACGUACCGCGAGAGUAGAACGUACGAACGUAGUAGUUAGUACGGACGUAGAGACGUUACGACCGACGGACGACCGACGGAGGGAGGAGG
Molecule: ribosomal RNA, 639 nt
Filed under: uncultured bacterium
Lineage: Bacteria
Description: bacterial SSU rRNA
Rfam family: Bacterial small subunit ribosomal RNA (bases 1-540)
Source: RNAcentral